This 1806-nucleotide long non-coding RNA is filed under the name Homo sapiens (human). RNAcentral describes it as "long independently transcribed non-coding RNA 2377, transcript variant 28 (LINC02377)". Lineage: Eukaryota; Metazoa; Chordata; Mammalia; Primates; Hominidae. The record is from RNAcentral.
GCCAGAUAAGGGAAGCAGGCCUCCGAAGCCAGCAGUGGCAACCCACUUGGGUCCCUUUCAAUGCUGUGGAAGCGUUGUUCUUUCACUCUUCUCAAUAAAUCUUGCUGCUGCUCACUCUUUGGGUCUGCCCCGCUGUUAUGAGCUGUAACACUCACAGCCAGUGUCUGCAGUUUCACUCCUGAAGCCAGCAAGACCACAAACCCACAGGGCGGGACAAACAACUCCGGACAGGAGGAAUGAACAACUCUGGACGCGCCACUUCUAUGAACUUUUAUGAACUGUAACACUCACCGCAAAGGUCUGCAGCUUCACCCCUGAGGCCAGGGAGACCACGAACCCACCGGAAGGAAUGAACAACUCCAGACGCACUGCCUUUAAGAGCUGUAACACUUACCACGGAUGUCUGCAGCUUCACUCCUGAAGUCAGCGAGACCACAAACCCAACAGAAGGAAGAAACUCCCGACACAUCUGAACAUCUGAAGGAACAAACUCUGGACACACCAUCUUUAAGAACUGUAACACUCACCGUGAGGGUCAACCGCUUCAUUCUUGAAGUCAGCCAGACCAAGAACCCACCAAUUCCGAGUCUCACUUUGUUGCCUAAGCUAGAGUGCAGCGUCGUGAUCAAGGCUCACUGCAGCCUCAACAUCCUGAUCCCCAGUGUUCCUCCCACCUCAACCUCCCAAGUAGCUGGGACCACAGAUGAAUGCCAGAUGCCUCUAGUGAGCCACCUUGAAUCACUAUUCUGAAUACAUCUUGAGUAAAAAGAGAAAAUUGCUCAUGUUUCCAUGUCUAUCUGAAUCAUGUUAUUGGACCAUGAGAGCAAGCAGCUGGAUCUCAUUCUGUCCAGGUACAAAUAUACUAAAUUAACAUAAGUAGCAUAUCAUAUGUGUCAUAUGUGUGCUGAAUAUGUUAUAUUUAAUAACUAAAAAACCUUAAAACCUUACUUUUUUGGUACUUUUAAAUACCAAGAAUUAAUUAAUUAAUUAAUUAAUUUAGCUUGUGUCCAUUUCCUCUUACAAGUAUAUAGGAAACUUUUUACUCUCUGAAUCUUUAUAAAAUUGCAAGUCUUGGUGAACAGUAAUUGUCUUCUUGGAUAAUAUUUAUGCAAAGAGUGUUUGGAGACAUCUAUAUUCUGGAUAAAACUAAUUAUUUAAUACAGUACUUUUUUUAAAGGACAUGCUAUUUUAACUUCACUUCAGCAAAGUUUAUCUGUAGGCACUUAUAUAUGCACUUAAAACAAAAUUUAAAUAAAUGAGCAUGAUUUUUUUCCUUACUUUAAGUGGACUGGCAUCUUUCCCAUAUGUUUUGCAUGUAACAACAUUCCCAAAAAGUUAAGUGCAUCUAGGAUACACCUUAUUUAAUAACCUUAGCACCAGCUGCUCAUAUUCACUGCCAGAAAUCAUGCUUUUUUGUACACAGCCUAAAGGCAAAAAAAAAUAAAAAGUGAUUUAGAAGCUGCUACUAGGCUGAAAGGUAAAUCAGUGUUCCACAUAAUUCAAAACUUACUUUUUAUAAAAAAGCAAAUAAAAGCACAAAAGUAAUUUUAGCUGAAUAUUUAAAAAGUAAUUCUAUAUGGUAUGACACUUACUACAACAGAAACUUUUGCUUACUUUCAUAGGACUCCUGGAAACAGCAGCUCUAACAAAAUUGUCUUCAAUAAAUAAGUUUUUUUGCAUCACAUUUGUGUAUGUCCUGAAUGUUCUGAGCCCUUCAGAUUUGACUCAUAUUCAUGCUAAAAGAAAAAAUGCAAAUGAAAAUUGUAUAGCUAAUUAUGAGAAAAAUAAAGCAUCAUAAGAAAACCA